Molecule: ribosomal RNA, 377 nt
Filed under: uncultured bacterium
Lineage: Bacteria
Description: bacterial SSU rRNA
Rfam family: Bacterial small subunit ribosomal RNA
Source: RNAcentral
UAAUACGUAGGUGGCAAGCGUUACUCGGAAUCACUAGGCGUAAAGCGCAGGUAGGCGGUUCGGUAAGUCUCUUGUGAAAGCUCCCGGCUCAACUGGGAGAGGUCAAGGGAAACUGCCGGGCUAGAGUGUGGCAGAGGAAGCUGGAAUUCCCGGUGUAGCGGUGAAAUGCGUAGAGAUCGGGAGGAAUACCUAUGGCGAAAGCAGGCUUCUGGGCCAUCACUGACACUGAUCUGCGAAAGCUAGGGGAGCAAACAGGAUUAGAUACCCUGGUAGUCCUAGCCCUAAACGAUGCUCAUUAGGUGUGGAAGGUAUCGACCCCUCCCGCGCCGAAGCUAACGCAUUAAAUGAGCCGCCUGGGGAGUACGGCCGCAAGGUUG